Molecule: ribosomal RNA, 479 nt
Filed under: uncultured Allobrachymonas sp.
Lineage: Bacteria; Pseudomonadati; Pseudomonadota; Betaproteobacteria; Burkholderiales; Comamonadaceae
Description: bacterial SSU rRNA
Rfam family: Bacterial small subunit ribosomal RNA
Source: RNAcentral
GAAACUCAAAUGAAUUGACGGGACCGCACAAGCGGUGGAUGAUGUGGUUAAUUCGAUGCAACGCGAAAAACCUUACCCACCUUUGACAUGGCAGGAAUCCCGAAGAGAUUUGGGAGUGCUCGAAAGAGAACCUGCACACAGGUGCUGCAUGGCUGUCGUCAGCUCGUGUCGUGAGAUGUUGGGUUAAGUCCCGCAACGAGCACAACCCUUGCCAUUAGUUGCUACGAAAGGGCACUCUAAUGGGACUGCCGGUGACAAACCGGAGGAAGGUGGGGAUGACGUCAAGUCCUCAUGGCCCUUAUAGGUGGGGCUACACACGUCAUACAAUGGCCGGUACAGAGGGUAGCCAACCCGCGAGGGGGAGCCAAUCCCACAAAGCCGGUCGUAGUCCGGAUCGCAGUCUGCAACUCGACUGCGUGAAGUCGGAAUCGCUAGUAAUCGCGGAUCAGCAUGUCGCGGUGAAUACGUUCCCGGGUCUU